GUGGCACACCUGUGAGGUGGGAUGGAUUAUCUCAGCAAAGCACAAGUGCUCACUAUCACACAUUUAGACUGAUUUGUGAACAAUGUUUGAGAGAAAUGGUAAUAUUGUGUAUCUGGAAUGAAUUUUAGAUCUUAAAGUCCAUCUCAUGAAAAAUCAGAGCAGAAACAAAGGUGUUGCGUGUAUAUUUUUGUUGAGUGUACAUAAAACAUGUGAAUGUGGAUCAAUGAACUCAAGUAGAACUUCCAAACAGGAUUUAUGUGCAACUGUCUUAUGAUCACUGUUCAUUUUCCAUCUGAUUUUUCUCACCACAUUGUCAUAGAUCAGCAAGAUUAUGGGCUAAACAAAACCUCCCCGUGUCAAAAAGGAGCGUAAACACUCCCCUCAUCCACUUCCCUGCAGCCAGAGAGGAACGUGCCUGCCUGCCUACAUGCAGUUCUGGAUUUGCAUGGCAAAUAUCCUCACAAUAAAACCUGCCCCACUGAUGGACUGCAAACAAACCCUGUGCCGUGCACAACACCGACGUCUCUCCUUUGUCUGUGGGUGCAGAGGAGGUCGAGUCAACAGCUUCUCAUCCCACUAACCUACCUACGGUGCAGCUCUGUGACCGUUUUGUUGGACCUGCUCCCCAGCGGAUGUGGUUUGGUUUCCAUGUGGUUUCCACAACGAUCAUUCAUCACUGAGUCCAAUCAGAACAUUCAUACCGGCUACGGCGCAGCGUGGAUUUGGAUGUGGAGCUCUGGAAAGCUUCUGCAUGGAUAGUCAUGAAGCUGAAGAAGUUAUCUGAGCCAGACAGGAAGUGAGACGUGUUUCAGCCAGGUGCAUCCAGUUUAUUUUAAAAUAAAACACAUGUUGUAUUAAAUUUGCCAGUUUUUGCUUUUUUUUUUUUUUUACAGGUCUACGUUUAAACGUAUUGUGUCAGUAUUUCUUAUCAUCAGGUGCUCUUGUGGGAGCAGAUUUCUGAACACAAACUGCAGUCAGUGCGAAAUCCAUGCGGCCUCGUGCCACAUUCUAUGUGAAACAGGUUUAAGAAGGAGGCAGAGCCAGGGACAACCGUCAAUCCUGCAGGAUCAGGCUGAAUAAGGUCUAAACAUUUUCUCUGCAUUAAUUUUUUUCAAUCUUUUAUUUUCAUUUAUUGACAUUAAAAUAAAAAUACAGAACUAAAUUGCUGCAAGCCAAAAUGAAAAAG
This is a long non-coding RNA of Nothobranchius furzeri (turquoise killifish), 1186 nucleotides long. RefSeq lists it as uncharacterized. The record is from RefSeq and is a predicted model, not a curated record. NCBI's taxonomy places the organism in Eukaryota, Metazoa, Chordata, Actinopteri, Cyprinodontiformes, Nothobranchiidae.